CCUACGGGGGGCUGCAGUGGGGAAUAUUGGACAAUGGGGGGAACCCUGAUUCAGCCAUGCCGCGUGUGUGAAGAAGGCCCUCGGGUUGUAAAGCACUUUCAGUGAGGAAGAACGCCUGGUGGUUAAUACCCAUCAGGAAAGACAUCACUCACAGAAGAAGCACCGGCUAACUCCGUGCCAGCAGCCGCGGUAAUACGGAGGGUGCGAGCGUUAAUCGGAAUUACUGGGCGUAAAGCGCGCGUAGGUGGCUUGAUAAGCCGGUUGUGAAAGCCCCGGGCUCAACCUGGGAACGGCAUCCGGAACUGUCAAGCUAGAGUGCAGGAGAGGAAGGUAGAAUUCCCGGUGUAGCGGUGAAAUGCGUAGAGAUCGGGAGGAAUACCAGUGGCGAAGGCGGCCUUCUGGACUGACACUGACACUGAGGUGCGAAAGCGUGGGUAGCAAACAGGAUUAGAUACCCUAGUAGUC
This 465-nucleotide ribosomal RNA is filed under the name Vreelandella stevensii. RNAcentral describes it as "partial 16S ribosomal RNA". It matches the Rfam family "Bacterial small subunit ribosomal RNA", at positions 338 to 795 of the family's 1533-position model. The record is from RNAcentral. Lineage: Bacteria; Pseudomonadati; Pseudomonadota; Gammaproteobacteria; Oceanospirillales; Halomonadaceae.